CACCGACGGUGCACAGCACGGGUAACCGUGUGUCGCAAAACUACCAUCCCGAAGAGGGAUAGAGGGGUUGUCGAAG
This is a regulatory RNA element of Pelobacter propionicus DSM 2379, 76 nucleotides long. It matches the Rfam family "c-di-GMP-I-UAU riboswitch aptamer". NCBI's taxonomy places the organism in Bacteria, Pseudomonadati, Thermodesulfobacteriota, Desulfuromonadia, Desulfuromonadales, Desulfuromonadaceae. The record is from Rfam.